AACGGAGUAAAAAGAGUUGCUAGUUAAAUUAUAUUAAAAUUGAUGCAAUUACGCCAUCUAGAGGCAGGUUGAUUUAGUGUGACAGUGGGAUUCGCGUUGCAUUUACCCAGACUGGAGAUUACGAGAUACUGGAUUGUUGUCCCGAGAUCUAUUUGCUGAACCCACAAUUCCACACUGUCAUACUUUGUUCCAGCAAUAAAGAAACCUGAUCCAAGUGGUUGUCCGUGGUGAUGUGUAGAAGCAACAGUAGAAUGGAGUGACCCGUCACAUUGGUGCCGUGACUCAUCGAUUUGAAGUUGGAUCUUCACCUCGACCCGGGACCAUUCUACUGGACGGCUUCGUCACACUGUCAGGUGGACAGCGUAUCGCUUCACACAUUAGUGUAGGCCUCAGUUGUUUUUAUUUACUUUUCUUUGCUAGCCCUUUUCUGACUAUAUUUCAUGCAGUUGUUACUGAUUGACUGAUACUGUGUUACUGAUUGUUUGAUAUUGCAUGAUACUCCAAUAUGAGCUACAGGCGAGGGUAUAUCAGUACGCCUUUUGGUGAAAGCAUUGGUAGAGGGAGGGGGAUUCCAAUAGUUUUGGAUUUUGAUAGUCCUGUUCAGGGAGGUGACGUUCAUGUGGUGGGGGAUAGUCAGAUUGCCGCAGCGGCCCCUAUAGCUAGUGGGGUCGGGUUUUCUUCCCAGAAUCACCACACUGAGCAUGCACCAAACACACAGGU
Molecule: long non-coding RNA, 720 nt
Organism: Alosa alosa (allis shad)
Lineage: Eukaryota; Metazoa; Chordata; Actinopteri; Clupeiformes; Clupeidae
Exons: 3
Source: RefSeq, a predicted model, not a curated record